UUAGUGGCGGACGGGUGAGUAACGCGUGGGUAACCUGCCUUACACAGGGGGAUAACACGUUAGAAAUAGGUGCUAAAACCGCAUAAGCGCACAGCUUCGCAUGAAGCGGUGUGAAAAACUCCGGUGGUGUAAGAUGGACCCGCGUCUGAUUAGCUUGUUGGCGGGGUAACGGCCCACCAAGGCGACGAUCAGUAGCCGGCCUGAGAGGGCGGACGGCCACAUUGGGACUGAGACACGGCCCAGACUCCUACGGAAGGCAGCAG
RNAcentral lists this ribosomal RNA (263 nucleotides) under uncultured bacterium. RNAcentral describes it as "partial 16S ribosomal RNA". It matches the Rfam family "Bacterial small subunit ribosomal RNA", at positions 92 to 354 of the family's 1533-position model. The record is from RNAcentral.